GUGAACGCUGGCGGUAGGCCUAACACAUGCAAGUCGAACGGCAGCACAGUAAGAGCUUGCUCUUACGGGUGGCGAGUGGCGGACGGGUGAGGAAUACAUCGGAAUCUACUUUUUCGUGGGGGAUAACGUAGGGAAACUUACGCUAAUACCGCAUACGACCUAUGGGUGAAAGCAGGGGAUCUUCGGACCUUGCGCGAUUGAAUGAGCCGAUGUCGGAUUAGCUAGUUGGCGGGGUAAAGGCCCACCAAGGCGACGAUCCGUGGCUGGUCUGAGAGGAUGAUCAGCCACACUGGAACUGAGACACGGUCCAGACUCCUACGGGAGGCAGCAGUGGGGAAUAUUGGACAAUGGGCGCAAGCCUGAUCCAGCCAUACCGCGUGGGUGAAGAAGGCCUUCGGGUUGUAAAGCCCUUUUGUUGGGAAAGAAAAGCAGCAGGUUAAUACCCCGCUGUUCUGACGGUACCCAAAGAAUAAGCACCGGCUAACUUCGU
RNAcentral lists this ribosomal RNA (490 nucleotides) under uncultured bacterium. RNAcentral's name for it is "partial 16S ribosomal RNA". It matches the Rfam family "Bacterial small subunit ribosomal RNA", at positions 29 to 506 of the family's 1533-position model. The record is from RNAcentral.